Small nucleolar RNA from Phragmites australis (common reed), 114 nucleotides. RefSeq annotates it as small nucleolar RNA U19. The transcript has a single exon. NCBI's taxonomy places the organism in Eukaryota, Viridiplantae, Streptophyta, Magnoliopsida, Poales, Poaceae. The record is from RefSeq and is a predicted model, not a curated record.
UCUUGGUUUAGUUAGGAGGCGCAUAGUGACGGGCACGUGAUGCUCACUCAGGCUUUUGAGGGGGCGCCUCAUCUGUUUUAGCUAGAGGUGCCCCCCAAGUAGCCCUAGACAUUC